RNAcentral lists this ribosomal RNA (542 nucleotides) under uncultured bacterium. RNAcentral describes it as "bacterial SSU rRNA". It matches the Rfam family "Bacterial small subunit ribosomal RNA", at positions 355 to 896 of the family's 1533-position model. The record is from RNAcentral.
UGGGGAAUUUUCGGCAAUGGGGGAAACCCUGACCGAGCAACGCCGCGUGAAUGAAGAAGUAUUUCGGUAUGUAAAGUUCUUUUAUUGAGGAAGAAUGGGUUAGGUAGGAAAUGACCUAACCGUGACGGUACUCAAUAAAUAAGCCCCGGCUAACUAUGUGCCAGCAGCCGCGGUAAUACAUAGGGGGCAAGCGUUAUCCGGAAUUAUUGGGCGUAAAGAGCUCGUAGGCGGUUUGUCGCGUCUGCUGUGAAAACGCGAGGCUCAACCUCGCGCCUGCAGUGGGUACGGGCAAACUAGAGUGCGGUAGGGGAGAUUGGAAUUCCUGGUGUAGCGGUGGAAUGCGCAGAUAUCAGGAGGAACACCAAUGGCGAAGGCAGAUCUCUGGGCCGUAACUGACGCUGAGGAGCGAAAGCGUGGGGAGCAAACAGGAUUAGAUACCCUAGUAGUCCACGCUGUAAACGAUGAAUACUAAGUGUUGGAGAAAUUCAGUGCUGCAGUUAACGCAAUAAGUAUUCCGCCUGGGGAGUAUGCACGCAAGUGUG